Non-coding RNA from Onychostoma macrolepis, 628 nucleotides. Lineage: Eukaryota; Metazoa; Chordata; Actinopteri; Cypriniformes; Cyprinidae. The record is from the annotation of a RefSeq genome assembly.
ACAACAUAAGACCUUAAUAAGCCCUUUCAUUUGGUACCUGUGUGUUAAAUGUAGUCAUGUGAUGUGGCUCAGGGAGGAGGGACUCGGUGUUCACAGAUCUGACAUGAUCUAAUGUGUCUGACAGACUGAGAAGAGACUGAGAAGACAGAGACUCUUCUCAGAGUGAACACUUGUACAAUGGAUCUUCAUUCAGUUAUUCUGUUCUGUGCCUCAGCAGCUGUUGUCUUUGGAAAUACUAUCAGUCCAGAUACAACAGAUGUUGGUGCUGAUGAGGGUCAAAAAGCUACACUGUCCUGCAGUUAUUCCUCCUCUGGGGGUACAGAUUAUCUCUUCUGGUACCGUCAGUAUGGAAGAUCAAAACCUGAGUUUCUUGUAGCCACAUACAGUACUGCAAAAGUGCCUGAGGUAUCUGGAGUAGAUUCAAGAUUUUCUGUUAAAGUAACAAAAAUGGAAAAAAUCCAUGUGGAUCUGGAGAUCUCCUCUGCUGCUGUAUCAGACUCUGCUCUGUACUACUGUGCUCUGAGGCCCACAGUGACAGGAAACACAUCAACACUGUACAAAAACCUUUCCUUAUUUAAUCCAGUUAGAACAAGCAAUAGAUAGAGAGUCAAAGAUUAAAAGAGAAUCU